AUAGCGUAUAUUAAAGUUGUUGCAGUUAAAAAGCUCGUAGUUGAAUUUUGGACUUGACUGAGUGGUCUUAUCGUAAGAUGAGUUACUACUUUUUUUAGUUGAGUCUUUCCUUCUGGGGAACUAGCGUGCUCUUAGUUGAAUGCGUUAAGGAUCCAGGAUUUUUACUUUGAAAAAAUUAGAGUGUUCAAAGCAGGCAUUUGCUCGAAUACAUUAGCAUGGAAUAAUAGAAUAGGACUUUGGUUUUAUUUUGUUGGUUUCUAAGACCGAGGUAAUGAUUAAUAGGGACAGUUGGGGGCAUUAGUAUUUAAUUGUCAGAGGUGAAAUUCUUGGAUUUAUGAAAGACUAACUUCUG
RNAcentral lists this ribosomal RNA (352 nucleotides) under uncultured eukaryote. Its description in RNAcentral is "partial 18S ribosomal RNA". It matches the Rfam family "Eukaryotic small subunit ribosomal RNA", at positions 594 to 945 of the family's 1831-position model. The record is from RNAcentral.